GAUGAACGCUGGCGGCGUGCCUAAUACAUGCAAGUCGAGCGAACAGACGAGGAGCUUGCUCCUCUGACGUUAGCGGCGGACGGGUGAGUAACACGUGGAUAACCUACCUAUAAGACUGGGAUAACUUCGGGAAACCGGAGCUAAUACCGGAUAAUAUAUUGAACCGCAUGGUUCAAUAGUGAAAGACGGUUUUGCUGUCACUUAUAGAUGGAUCCGCGCCGCAUUAGCUAGUUGGUAAGGUAACGGCUUACCAAGGCAACGAUGCGUAGCCGACCUGAGAGUGUGAUCGGCCACACUGGAACUGAGACUCGGUCCAGACUCCUACGGGAGGCAGCAGUAGGGAAUCUUCCGCAUUGGGCGAAAGCCUGACGGAGCAACGCCGCGUGAGUGAUGAAGGUCUUCGGAUCGUAAAACUCUGUUAUUAGGGAAGAACAAAUGUGUAAGUAACUAUGCACGUCUUGACGGUACCUAAUCAGAAAGCCACGGCUAACUACGUG
RNAcentral lists this ribosomal RNA (497 nucleotides) under uncultured bacterium. RNAcentral's name for it is "partial 16S ribosomal RNA". It matches the Rfam family "Bacterial small subunit ribosomal RNA", at positions 28 to 507 of the family's 1533-position model. The record is from RNAcentral.